AGAUUUACAGAGUGCUUUUACUCUUCAAAGAGCAUUUUUUUUUCUGGCUUUUUUUUUUUUUUUUUGAGAUGGGGUCUUGCUCUGUUGCCCAGGCUGGUCUUGAACUCCUGGCCUCAAGCAAUCCUCUCGCCUCGACCUCACAAGAUGCUGGGAUUACAGACAUGAGCCACUGUGCCCGGCCCAAAAGGCAUUCUUACAAAACCGUGCAAUCCCUGCUAAGUGGAUAUUAUUAAUUCUGUUUCCUUGAUGAGGAAGCUGGGGCUCACAGCCACUGUUAGCGGGGUUGGGAAGUGAGAAUCUCUGCCUCGAGACACAGCAACAAGUUGUUUGUCCCACAUCAUGCUGGGGUGGCUGGGAGGGGAUAGGGUGAGACAGGGAGCAGCUACUCCACUGAAGACCAGGCCAUGCAGAGGGGAUGAGAAGGGCAGCGUUACCUCCCGAGAGGCUACUCCAAGGAGAGCGGCUCGGGGUCACUGUUUCCCCCUUUUCAGGCUGGCCCGCUUCACUAUCUGCGCCCCCUUCCUGCCCUCUAUCAGGUCCGGCUGUAGGCCACUCCCUCUCAGCUCCACCUGCAGACAGCAGCAGAGACAGAAAGCAGGACAGAUCGCAAAGACGGGCAGAACACAGGCAGAAGAUCGAAAGGAGGCCACACGGAGGCGGCAGACACACUGCCCACCGGGGAGAAGGGAGACUGGAGAGAGAGCUCGUAAAGACGACACCAAAUGGCCCUCUCGGCUGAAGCAGCCUGGCCCAAGUGCCCUUCUGCCCAGCAGCCCGGCUCUGCCCUGAGUGGCCCGGGUGACAUCACGCUCCUAUAAUUUUAGCUCCCCAAACCAGCUGCCGGAGCUGUCCAACCGGGCUAGAAGGAAGCCGGCAGGUGCCCAUGUCCUGAGCACUGAAAGCACAAGUGAAAGUCACUGUGUGAGUGACACCCACUGCUGCCUAACCCCGCCCUGCCCAGAGAGCUGGAAGUGGGGGCUCGGCCUCUCGCCUAUCCUACCCAUCCCCACGGGAACUAGAAAGAGUUCUGCCCAGGGAAAGUUUCUUACUUUCAGAAAAUAAUACGGUCCGAGAAAGCAGCUA
RNAcentral lists this non-coding RNA (1083 nucleotides) under Pongo abelii (Sumatran orangutan). The record is from RNAcentral. Lineage: Eukaryota; Metazoa; Chordata; Mammalia; Primates; Hominidae.